This 468-nucleotide ribosomal RNA is filed under the name uncultured bacterium. RNAcentral describes it as "partial 16S ribosomal RNA". It matches the Rfam family "Bacterial small subunit ribosomal RNA", at positions 28 to 507 of the family's 1533-position model. The record is from RNAcentral.
GACGAACGCUGGCGGCGUGCUUAGCACAUGUAAGUCGAACGGAAAGGCCCUGCUUUUGUGGGGUGCUCGAGUGGCGAACGGGUGAGUAACACGUGAGUAACCUGCCCUUGACUUUGGGAUAACUUCAGGAAACUGGGGCUAAUACCGGAUAGGAGCUCCUGCUGCAUGGUGGGGGUUGGAAAGUUUCGGCGGUUGGGGAUGGACUCGCGGCUUAUCAGCUUGUUGGUGGGGUAGUGGCUUACCAAGGCUUUGACGGGUAGCCGGCCUGAGAGGGUGACCGGCCACAUUGGGACUGAGAUACGGCCCAGACUCCUACGGGAGGCAGCAGUGGGGAAUAUUGCACAAUGGGCGGAAGCCUGAUGCAGCAACGCCGCGUGCGGGAUGACGGCCUUCGGGUUGUAAACCGCUUUCGCCUGUGACGAAGCGUGAGUGACGGUAAUGGGUAAAGAAGCACCGGCUAACUACGUG